UAGGGAAUCUUCCACAAUGGACGCAAGUCUGAUGGAGCAACGCCGCGUGAGUGAAGAAGGUUUUCGGACCGUAAAGCUCUGUUGUUGGUGAAGAAGGAUAGAGGUAGUAACUGGCCUUUAUUUGACGGUAAUCAACCAGAAAGUCACGGCUAACUACGUGCCAGCAGCCGCGGUAAUCGUAGGUGGCAAGCGUUGUCCGGAUUUAUUGGGCGUAAAGCGAGCGCAGGCGGAAGAAUAAGUCUGAUGUGGAAGCCCUCGGCUUAACCGAGGAAUUGCAUCGGAAACUGUUUUCUUGAGUGCAGAAGAGGAGAGUAGAACUCCAUGUGUAGCGGUGGAAUGCGUAGAUAUAUGGAAGAAUACCAGUGGCGAAGGCGGCUCUCUGGUCUGCAACUGACGCUGAGGCUCGAAAGCAUGGUAGCGAACAGGAUUAGAUACCCUGGUAGUCCAUGCCGUAAACGAUGAGUGCUAAGUGUUGGGAGGCUUCCGCCUCUCAGUGCUGCAGCUAACGCAUUAAGCACUCCGCCUGGGGGAGUACGACCGCAAGGUUGAAAC
RNAcentral lists this ribosomal RNA (552 nucleotides) under uncultured bacterium. RNAcentral's name for it is "partial 16S ribosomal RNA". It matches the Rfam family "Bacterial small subunit ribosomal RNA", at positions 355 to 900 of the family's 1533-position model. The record is from RNAcentral.